GACAGAGGAUGCAAGCGUUAUCCGGAAUGAUUGGGCGUAAAGCGUCUGUAGGUGGUCUAUCAAGUCUUCUGUCAAAGAUCAGGGCUUAACUCUGGGCAGGCAGGAGAAACUAGUAGACUAGAGUUCGGUAGGGGCAGAGGGAAUUCCCGGUGGAGCGGUGAAAUGCGUAGAGAUCGGGAGGAACACCAAAGGCGAAAGCACUCUGCUGGGCCGCGACUGACACUGAGAGACGAAAGCGAGGGGAGCAAAUGGG
Molecule: ribosomal RNA, 253 nt
Filed under: uncultured Loriellopsis sp.
Lineage: Bacteria; Bacillati; Cyanobacteriota; Cyanophyceae; Nostocales; Symphyonemataceae
Description: partial 16S ribosomal RNA
Rfam family: Bacterial small subunit ribosomal RNA
Source: RNAcentral